AUUGAACGCUGGCGGCAGGCCUAACACAUGCAAGUCGAGCGGAUGAAGGGAGCUUGCUCCUGGAUUCAGCGGCGGACGGGUGAGUAAUGCCUAGGAAUCUGCCUGGUAGUGGGGGAUAACGUCCGGAAACGGGCGCUAAUACCGCAUACGUCCUGAGGGAGAAAGUGGGGGAUCUUCGGACCUCACGCUAUCAGAUGAGCCUAGGUCGGAUUAGCUAGUUGGUGGGGUAAAGGCCUACCAAGGCGACGAUCCGUAACUGGUCUGAGAGGAUGAUCAGUCACACUGGAACUGAGACACGGUCCAGACUCCUACGGGAGGCAGCGGUGGGGAAUAUUGGACAAUGGGCGAAAGCCUGAUCCAGCCAUGCCGGGUGUGUGAAGAAGGUCUUCGGAUUGUAAAGCACUUUAAGUUGGGAGGAAGGGCAGUAAGUUAAUACCUUGCUGUUUUGACGUUACCAACAGAAUAAGCACCGGCUAACUUCGU
This 483-nucleotide ribosomal RNA is filed under the name uncultured bacterium. RNAcentral describes it as "partial 16S ribosomal RNA". It matches the Rfam family "Bacterial small subunit ribosomal RNA", at positions 30 to 506 of the family's 1533-position model. The record is from RNAcentral.